GUACACGCUGUGACUAGCAUAUCAAUAAGCGGAGGAAAAGAAACUAACUAGGAUUCCCUCAGUAACGGCGAGUGAGGCGGGAAGAGCUCAAAUUUGAAAUCUUCAAGGUUCUACCUUGACGAAUUGUAGUUUAAAGAAGUGUUUUCUGUUGGAGUUUUGGUAAAAGCUCUUUGGAAUAGGACAUCAUAGAGGGUGAGAAUCCCGUAUUUGACCAUUAUUUCCAGCUUUGUGAUACACUUUCAAAGAGUCGGAUUGUUUGGGGAUGCAGUCCAAAAUGGGUGGUAAAUUUCAUCUAAAGCUAAAUAUUGGCGAGAGACCGAUAGCGAACAAGUACCGUGAGGGAGAGAUGAAAAGAACUUUGAAAAGAGAGUUAAACAGUACGUGAAAUUGUCAAAAGGGAAGCGUUUGACACCAGUGUUGUUUUCUCGAAAAUCAAUUAAAAAAGGCAGGAUUUUGUGCUGUAUUGACUUUAUCAGCUUUCUGCACUCUUUUCUUGUCUUUUUUAAUGCACUUUUCGUUUAACAAGUCAACAUCAAUUUCUUUUGUUGUAAAAGGGUCAUUGGAAGGUGGCUUUCUUUUCGGAGAAAGUGUUUAUAGCCUUUGGCCUCUGCAAUCGGAGAGACUGAGGUCUGCAGCGUAGAUCCUUCGGGGUUAGGAUACAUUUGUGCUAAGUUAUAGCCUUUCAUAGACAACUUGUUGACUAUGAUCAGUCACGUAGCUUACUCGCUUAUGCUAUUUUACCUACGCUUAGGAUGUUAAAGACUCUACAGAGAUA
Molecule: ribosomal RNA, 775 nt
Filed under: uncultured Neocallimastigales
Lineage: Eukaryota; Fungi; Neocallimastigomycota; Neocallimastigomycetes; Neocallimastigales
Description: partial large subunit ribosomal RNA
Rfam family: Eukaryotic large subunit ribosomal RNA
Source: RNAcentral